Long non-coding RNA from Cercocebus atys (sooty mangabey), 667 nucleotides. RefSeq lists it as uncharacterized. Lineage: Eukaryota; Metazoa; Chordata; Mammalia; Primates; Cercopithecidae. The transcript has 3 exons. The record is from RefSeq and is a predicted model, not a curated record.
CGCAAUCAAGAUGAGGGGACUGGUUGGUGGUCAUGAUGGCAGCUGGCAAAGACUGUGAUAGCAGGAAGGAGAGACAUGCACCGACCGAAUCGUGAGCAUGGUAGACCGCAGCUCAUUAACUAGCUCGGAGUUUGCAUCUCCUGUUUAACUGACAAUAACUGGAGAGCCUCUCGCCUGUAACUUGCGGGCUGACUGCACCCUGCAUUGCGCACGGUGCAAACGGCAAGGACCACAAAGAGAGGACGCUUGAUGACAUGAAAGGAUCUCCGUGGCUGGCCUUACUCCCUGUGGAUGCCACAGCUGCAGGAUACCGGUGCCCCAACAGAAGCCAGUGAAGGAAGAAUUCCUGCUCCAGCAGGUGCCUGGUCUCCACCUUCAGGGGCUGCUCAAGGAGAGCGAACAAAACUGCCCUUUGCCCAGAAAUCCUGCAAACUGAAGCUGGACGACUUGAAAUAAACAUCAGUGAGAUGAGCACGAAGCCCAGGUGUGAAGGGCCCUCAUGCCUGUUGCUGUGUUGGCCUCCCAGACAUCACCAGAGACCAAACCGCAGAGGACGCUCGGAGCCCAGGAUCUACAAACCGGCCCUGCCACAGCCUCCACACCCAGAAACGAGUUUUUAGUCAGCUCCAAUGAUUAGCAUUUUUUUCUUUUGUGUUUAAGAAAUGCC